GGCCUAACACAUGCAAGUCGAGCGGUAGAGAGAAGCUUGCUUCUCUUGAGAGCGGCGGACGGGUGAGUAAUACCUAGGAAUCUGCCUGAUAGUGGGGGAUAACGUUCGGAAACGGACGCUAAUACCGCAUACGUCCUACGGGAGAAAGCAGGGGACCUUCGGGCCUUGCGCUAUCAGAUGAGCCUAGGUCGGAUUAGCUAGUUGGUGAGGUAAUGGCUCACCAAGGCUACGAUCCGUAACUGGUCUGAGAGGAUGAUCAGUCACACUGGAACUGAGACACGGUCCAGACUCCUACGGGAGGCAGCAGUGGGGAAUAUUGGACAAUGGGCGAAAGCCUGAUCCAGCCAUGCCGCGUGUGUGAAGAAGGUCUUCGGAUUGUAAAGCACUUUAAGUUGGGAGGAAGGGCAGUUACCUAAUACGUGAUUGUCUUGACGUUACCGACGGAAUAAGCACCGGCUAACUCUGUGCCAGCAGCCGCGGUAAUACAGGGGGUGCAAGCGUUAAUCGGAAUUACUGGGCGUAAAGCGCGCGUAGGUGGUUUGUUAAGUUGAAUGUGAAAUCCCCGGGCUCAACCUGGGAACUGCAUCCAAAACUGGCAAGCUAGAGUAUGGUAGAGGGUAGUGGAAUUUCCUGUGUAGCGGUGAAAUGCGUAGAUAUAGGAAGGAACACCAGUGGCGAAGGCGACUACCUGGACUGAUACUGACACUGAGGUGCGAAAGC
Molecule: ribosomal RNA, 720 nt
Filed under: uncultured bacterium
Lineage: Bacteria
Description: bacterial SSU rRNA
Rfam family: Bacterial small subunit ribosomal RNA
Source: RNAcentral